GACGAACGCUGGCGGCGUGCUUAACACAUGCAAGUCGAACGAUGAAGAAGAGAAACGCGAACUUCGGUUCAAAUUUCACUUCGGAUUAGUGGCAGACGGGUGAGUAACGCGUGAGCAACCUACCUCUUACAAAGGGAUAGCCUCGGGAAACCGUGAUUAAUACCAUAUGACACAUUCAUAAGGCAUCUUAAGAAUGUUAAAGCUACGUCGGUAAGAGAUGGGCUCGCGUCCCAUUAGCUAGUUGGUGAGGUAACGGCCCACCAAGGCGACGAUGGGUAACCGGCCUGAGAGGGUGAACGGUCACAUUGGAACUGAGACACGGUCCAAACUCCUACGGGAGGCAGCAGUGGGGAAUAUUGCACAAUGGAGGGAACUCUGAUGCAGCGACGCCGCGUGAGCGAUGAAGGAAUUCGUUGCGUAAAGCUCUGUUCUAUGGGAAGAAAAGGACUGUACCAUAGGAGAAAGCCCCGGCUAAAUACGUG
This 482-nucleotide ribosomal RNA is filed under the name uncultured bacterium. Its description in RNAcentral is "partial 16S ribosomal RNA". It matches the Rfam family "Bacterial small subunit ribosomal RNA", at positions 28 to 507 of the family's 1533-position model. The record is from RNAcentral.